RNAcentral lists this ribosomal RNA (377 nucleotides) under uncultured organism. RNAcentral's name for it is "partial 16S ribosomal RNA". It matches the Rfam family "Bacterial small subunit ribosomal RNA", at positions 527 to 896 of the family's 1533-position model. The record is from RNAcentral.
GUAGGUGGCAAGCGUUGUCCGGAAUUAUUGGGCGUAAAGCGCGCGCAGGCGGUUCUUUAAGUCUGAUGUGAAAGCCCACGGCUCAACCGUGGAGGGUCAUUGGAAACUGGAGAACUUGAGUACAGAAGAGGAAAGCGGAAUUCCACGUGUAGCGGUGAAAUGCGUAGAGAUGUGGAGGAACACCAGUGGCGAAGGCGGCUUUCUGGUCUGUAACUGACGCUGAGGCGCGAAAGCGUGGGGGAGCAAACAGGAUUAGAUACCCUGGCAGUCCACGCCGUAAACGAUGAGUGCUAAGUGUUAGGGGGUUUCCGCCCCCCCCUUAGUGCUGCAGCUAACGCAUUAAGCACUCCGCCCUGGGGAGUACGGCCGCAAGGCUG